This 496-nucleotide ribosomal RNA is filed under the name uncultured bacterium. Its description in RNAcentral is "partial 16S ribosomal RNA". It matches the Rfam family "Bacterial small subunit ribosomal RNA", at positions 29 to 507 of the family's 1533-position model. The record is from RNAcentral.
AUGAACGCUGGCGGCGUGCCUAAUACAUGCAAGUCGAGCGAACGGACGAGAAGCUUGCUUCUCUGAUGUUAGCGGCGGACGGGUGAGUAACACGUGGAUAACCUACCUAUAAGACUGGGAUAACUUCGGGAAACCGUAGCUAAUGCCGGAUAAUAUUUUGAACCGCAUGGUUCAAAAGUGAAAGACGGUCUUGCUGUCACUUAUAGAUGGAUCCGCGCUGCAUUAGCUAGUUGGUAAGGUAACGGCUUACCAAGGCAACGAUGCAUAGCCGACCUGAGAGGGUGAUCGGCCACACUGGAACUGAGACACGGUCCAGACUCCUACGGGAGGCAGCAGUAGGGAAUCUUCCGCAAUGGGCGAAAGCCUGACGGAGCAACGCCGCGUGAGUGAUGAAGGUCUUCGGAUCGUAAAACUCUGUUAUUAGGGAAGAACAUAUGUGUAAGUAACUGUGCACAUCUUGACGGUACCUAAUCAGAAAGCCACGGCUAACUACGUG